RNAcentral lists this ribosomal RNA (467 nucleotides) under uncultured bacterium. RNAcentral's name for it is "partial 16S ribosomal RNA". It matches the Rfam family "Bacterial small subunit ribosomal RNA", at positions 29 to 507 of the family's 1533-position model. The record is from RNAcentral.
ACGAACGCUGGCGGCGUGCUUAACACAUGCAAGUCGAACGGAAAGGCCCUGCUUUUGUGGGGUGCUCGAGUGGCGAACGGGUGAGUAACACGUGAGUAACCUGCCCUUGACUUUGGGAUAACUUCAGGAAACUGGGGCUAAUACCGGAUAGGAGCUCCUUCUGCAUGGUGGGGGUUGGAAAGUUUCGGCGGUUGGGGAUGGACUCGCGGCUUAUCAGCUUGUUGGUGGGGUAGUGGCUUACCAAGGCUUUGACGGGUAGCCGGCCUGAGAGGGUGACCGGCCACAUUGGGACUGAGAUACGGCCCAGACUCCCACGGGAGGCAGCAGUGGGGAAUAUUGCACAAUGGGCGGAAGCCUGAUGCAGCAACGCCGCGUGCGGGAUGACGGCCUUCGGGUUGUAAACCGCUUUCGCCUGUGACGAAGCGUGAGUGACGGUAAUGGGUAAAGAAGCACCGGCUAACUACGUG